Molecule: ribosomal RNA, 507 nt
Filed under: uncultured Glomeromycotina
Lineage: Eukaryota; Fungi; Glomeromycota
Description: partial small subunit ribosomal RNA
Rfam family: Eukaryotic small subunit ribosomal RNA
Source: RNAcentral
CCAAUAGCGUAUAUUAAAGUUGUUGCAGUUAAAAAGCUCGUAGUUGAAUUUCGGGAUUGGCGCAUCGGUCGUGCCUCACGGGGUAUGAACUGGUGCAGUCAAUUUCUCACCUUCUGGAGAACCGCGAUGUCCUUAAUUGGGUGCCGUGGGGAACCAGGACCUUUACUUUGAAAAAAUUAGAGUGUUUAAAGCAGGCAUUUUUGCUUGAAUACAUUAGCAUGGAAUAAUAAAAUAGGACGGCAUGGUUCUGUUUUGUUGGUUUCUAGGACCACCGUAAUGAUUAAUAGGGAUAGUUGGGGGCAUUAGUAUUCAAUUGUCAGAGGUGAAAUUCUUGGAUUUAUUGAAGACUAACUACUGCGAAAGCAUUUGCCAAGGAUGUUUUCAUUAAUCAAGAACGAAAGUUAGGGGAUCGAAGACGAUCAGAUACCGUCGUAGUCUUAACCAUAAACUAUGCCGACUAGGAAUCAGACGAUGUUAAUUUUUUAAUGACUCGUUUGGCACCUUACG